GCAGAUGUGCCCGAGUGGAUAAGGGGCUGGUCUUAGGAGUCAGUGCUUAGUGCAUCGUCGGUUCAAAUCCGACCAUCUGUA
Molecule: transfer RNA, 81 nt
Filed under: Promethearchaeota archaeon
Lineage: Archaea; Promethearchaeati; Promethearchaeota
Also listed under: 1 other name
Description: Candidatus Lokiarchaeota archaeon tRNA-Leu
Rfam family: tRNA
About the family: Transfer RNA (tRNA) molecules are approximately 80 nucleotides in length. Their secondary structure includes four short double-helical elements and three loops (D, anti-codon, and T loops).
Source: RNAcentral